AAAGUGUGGCAAGUAAUGUGCUAAUCGGAUUAGGUCAUUAGGUACAGACCAAUCAGAAGCAAAUGCUCAUUUUUUGAAGUACUGUAUUAGUUGCUGUAUGUUGGCUUCAUACACAGUUUACAUACUACAGAAUUUAUCAGCACUAUCAAAUAAAUGGUUUUCAAUCCAUUGAAAGGAAGUCAUGUUUGUUGCAAUAUAUUGUUUGUGGUAGACACUGGGAAAAAACCAACUAUUGAAUGUGUAUUUAUUUGUCUCCUGGUACAAAACUGAUGGAAGAGCAGCCAUGAUGAAGCAGUAAAAAGGCAUAUAAAAAAUUUUAUUUUAUGAGAAUAUAUACUGCACAUUUGCUAAUACCACUAUCACACAUCAGUUCUUGGAUACCUUGCUUCAAUACCUCUGGUUGGACAAGAAAAGACCUGGCUAAGGAUAGUAGAGGGUCAAAUAAUUUAUCACCAAGAAAGUUACUGAUUUAAACCGAAUCCUGUAACGCGAAAGAUUCUUAAUUAUGCUAAGUGUGCAAUAUUAGGUCAGUUAAGUUAUACCUCCAUGGUUAAAACGACAGUAAUGCAUGAUAGGUAUAUUUUGAAAUCUACACAUAGUAGCUGUUUUUAUAAUUAUUACAAAAACUCUGAUUUAAACAUGCCUGUAUAGCUACGAUACAUAAUAUUUAAUGUUUUUUGCAAGUUUCAAUUAAAGAAAAAUGGUCAAGUAUAUUUUAAACUCAGUGUAUUUUGU
This is a long non-coding RNA of Anneissia japonica, 735 nucleotides long. RefSeq lists it as uncharacterized. NCBI's taxonomy places the organism in Eukaryota, Metazoa, Echinodermata, Crinoidea, Comatulida, Comatulidae. The transcript is spliced from 3 exons. The record is from RefSeq and is a predicted model, not a curated record.